UCACGGUCUCAAGCUCGGCUUGAUGUUGGGCCCUUUGUUACUUGGUGACAGGUCCGAAAGACAAUGACCGGCGUAACCGACUCCCGAUGCAACGAGCUUAUUACAGCAGGCAUCUGGCGGUUGUGUAACCUGGUUGCCACCCUUUCUUUCUCCA
This 154-nucleotide unclassified non-coding RNA is filed under the name uncultured Herpotrichiellaceae. RNAcentral describes it as "sequence contains ITS2". The record is from RNAcentral. Lineage: Eukaryota; Fungi; Ascomycota; Eurotiomycetes; Chaetothyriales; Herpotrichiellaceae.